AACGCAUCUUGCACUCUUUGGUUAGUCCAGAGAGUAUACCUGUUUGAGUAACAUUUUUACCGAUCACACAGUAACUUGUGUGGACAUGGGGCUUCAAAGCAAUGACGGCAGCAAUGCAGUCUGUUUUAGUCCUGAAAUGCAUGGUGAAAUGGGUGUUUAACCAACCUGUAUGUGUUAGGUAACAUCGUACACGUGUUGGCAUUCAAGUAGCCCCACAUUUGGAUCUCGUGUCCAUCUUAUUGACCAACGUGUUCUCAAAUCAGGUAAGACUACCCGCUGAACUUAA
RNAcentral lists this unclassified non-coding RNA (286 nucleotides) under uncultured fungus. RNAcentral's name for it is "partial contains 5.8S ribosomal RNA, internal transcribed spacer 2, and large subunit ribosomal RNA". Lineage: Eukaryota; Fungi. The record is from RNAcentral.